UUACAGUAAUAUAUAGAAACACUUAUAACACACAUUAUAUUGAUUCAAGCAGCAUAGAGUCUUAUUCUAUUGAUUCAGCAGUAUAGAGUGUAAUUAUAUUGAUUCAGCAGUAUAGAGUCUUAUUCUGUUGAUUCAGCAGUAUAGAGUCUUAUUCUGUUGAUUCAAGCAGUAUAGAGUCUUAUUCUAUUGAUUCAGCAGUAUAGAGUCUAAUUAUAUUGAUUCAGCAGUAUAGAGUCUAAUUAUAUUGAUUCAGCAGUAUAGAGUCUUAUUCUGUUGAUUCAGCAGUAUAGAGUCUUAUCCUGUUGAUUCAGCAGUAUAGAGUCUUAUUCUAUUGAUUCAGCAGUAUAGAGUCUUAUCCUGUUGAUUCAAGCAGUAUAGAGUCUUAUUCUGUUGAUUCAAGCAGUAUAGAGUCUUAUCCUGUUGAUUCAAGCAGUACAGAGUCUAAUUAUAUUGAUUCAGCAGUAUAGAGUCUUAUUCUGUUCAGUCAAUCAGCGUGUUCUAUCUCAGAACAAGGGGCACUUAUUUGUUUUAAGGCCUCAGUGAAACCAGUCCUGGUCCUGUGGGUUCCGUGAGAGGUCCCAGACAGGUAUCAGAGCAGGUAGAAAUACAACACCCAGAGCAGUACUCUACAUCUCUCCAGGAGCAGGUAGAAAUACAACACCCAGAGCAGUACUCUACAUCUCUCUAGGAGCAGGUAGAAAUACAACACCCAGAGCAGUACUCUACAUCUCUCCAGGAGCAGGUAGAAAUACAACACCCAGAGCAGUACUCUACAUCUCUCUAGGAGCAGGUAGAAAUACAACACCCAGAGCAGUACUCUACAUCUCUCUAGGAGCAGGUAGAAAUACAACACCCAGAGCAGUACUUUACAUCUCUCUAGGAGCAGGUAGAAAUACAACACACAGAGCAGUACUCUACAUCUCUCUCUAGGAGCAGGUAGAAAUACAACACACAGAGCAGUACUCUACAUCUCUCUCUAGGAGCAGGUAGAAAUACAACACACAGAGCAGUACUCUACAUCUCUCUCUAGGAGCAGGUAGAAAUACAACACACAGAGCAGUACUCUACAUCUCUCUCUAGGAGCAGGUAGAAAUACAACACACAGAGCAGUACUCUACAUCUCUCUCUAGGAGCAGGUAGAAAUACAACACACAGAGCAGUACUCUACAUCUCUCUCUAGGAGCAGGUAGAAAUACAACACACAGAGCAGUACUCUAGACAAUCUAUUUCACCUGCUAGCAGAACCGGGCGAUUCACAUCUGAGGCCCCAAUAUGUCGCAGCGGAAAGAACCAUUUUGCUGUUUUAAAAAGACGCUUUCCUGCAAUUCUACACAUUUUGCUCAUCUGCUGUAUUUCCAUCUUGGCCCUCUGUAAUAUUGUCCAAUCUGUAAUAUAUUACAUUACAAUGUAUUGUUCAAUCUUUAUUAUAUUACAUUACAAUGUAUUGUCUAAUCUGUAAUAUAUUACAUUAUACUGUAUUGUCCAAUCUGUAAUAUAUUACAUUAUACUGUAUUGUCCAAUCUGUAAUAUAUUACAUUAUACUGUAUUGUCUAAUCUGUAAUAUAUUACAUUAUACUGUAUUGUCCAAUCUGUAAUAUAUUACAUUAUACUGUAUUGUCUAAUCUGUAAUAUAUUACAUUAUACUGUAUUGUCUAAUCUGUAAUAUAUUACAUUAUACUGUAUUGUCCACUCUGUAAUAUAUUACAUUAUACUGUAUUGUCCACUCUGUAAUAUAUUACAUUAUACUGUAUUGUCCAAUCUGUAAUAUAUUACAUUAUACUGUAUUGUCCAAUCUGUAUUAUAUUAAUACAUUGUGAAUAUAGAUAUUAUAUUACAUUAUACUGUAUUGUCCAAUCUGUAAUAUAUUACAUUAUACUGCAUUGACCAAUCUGUACUAUAUUACAUUAUACUAUAUUGUCCAAUCUGUAAUAUAUUACAUUAUACUGUAUUGACCACUCUGUAAUAUAUUACAUUAUACUGUAUUGACCAAUCUGUAAUAUAUUACAUUAUACUGUAUUGUCCACUCUGUAAUAUAUUACAUUAUACUGUAUUGUCCACUCUGUAAUAUAUUACAUUAUACUGUAUUGUCCAAUCUGUAAUAUAUCACAUUGUGAAUAUAGAUAUUAUAUUACAUUAUACUGUAUUGUCCAAUCUGUAAUAUAUUACAUUAUACUGUAUUGACCAAUCUGUAAUAUAUUACAUUACAAUGUAUUGUCCAAUCUGUAAUAUAUUACAUUAUACUGUAUUGUCCACUCUGUAUUAUAUUACAUUACAAUGUAUUGUCUAAUCUGUAAUAUAUUACAUUAUACUGUAUUGACCAAUCUGUAAUAUAUUACAUUAUACUGUAUUGUCCACUCUGUAAUAUAUUACAUUAUACUGUAUUGUCCACUCUGUAAUAUAUUACAUUAUACUGUAUUGUCCAAUCUGUAAUAUAUCACAUUGUGAAUAUAGAUAUUAUACUGUAUUGUCCAAUCUGUAAUAUAUUACAUUAUACUGUAUUGUCCAAUCUGUAAUAUAUUACAUUAUACUGUAUUGGCCAAUCUGUAAUAUAUUACAUUAUACUGUAUUGACCAAUCUGUAAUA
Molecule: long non-coding RNA, 2583 nt
Organism: Oncorhynchus keta (chum salmon)
Lineage: Eukaryota; Metazoa; Chordata; Actinopteri; Salmoniformes; Salmonidae
Exons: 3
Source: RefSeq, a predicted model, not a curated record